UGGAUCCAGACUUUGAUCCUGGCUCAGGAUGAACGCUAGCUACAGGCUUAACACAUGCAAGUCGAGGGGCAGCAUGGUCUUAGCUUGCUAAGACUGAUGGCGACCGGCGCACGGGUGAGUAACACGUAUCCAACCUGCCGUCUACUCUUGGACAGCCUUCCGAAAGGAAGAUUAAUACAAGAUGGCAUCAUGAGUCCGCAUGUUCACAUGAUUAAAGGUAUUCCGGUAGACGAUGGGGAUGCGUUCCAUUAGAUAGUAGGCGGGGUAACGGCCCACCUAGUCUUCGAUGGAUAGGGGUUCUGAGAGGAAGGUCCCCCACAUUGGAACUGAGACACGGUCCAAACUCCUACGGGAGGCAGCAGUGAGGAAUAUUGGUCAAUGGGCGAGAGCCUGAACCAGCCAAGUAGCGUGAAGGAUGACUGCCCUAUGGGUUGUAAACUUCUUUUAUAAAGGAAUAAAGUCGGGUAUGCAUACCCGUUUGCAUGUACUUUAUGAAUAAGGAUCGGCUAACUCCGUGCCAGCAGCCGCGGUAAUACGGAGGAUCCGAGCGUUAUCCGGAUUUAUUGGGUUUAAAGGGAGCGUAGAUGGAUGUUUAAAUCAGUUGUGAAAGUUUGCGGCUCAACCGUAAAAUUGCAGUUGAUACUGGAUAUCUUGAGUGCAGUUGAGGCAGGCGGAAUUCGUGGUGUAGCGGUGAAAUGCUUAGAUAUCACGAAGAACUCCGAUUGCGAAGGCAGCCUGCUAAGCUGCAACUGACAUUGAGGCUCGAAAGUGUGGGUAUCAAACAGGAUUAGAUACCCUGGUAGUCCACACGGUAAACGAUGAAUACUCGCUGUUUGCGAUAUACGGCAAGCGGCCAAGCGAAAGCGUUAAGUAUUCCACCUGGGGAGUACGCCGGCAACGGUGCAACUCAAAUGAAUUGACGGGA
RNAcentral lists this ribosomal RNA (925 nucleotides) under uncultured Bacteroidota bacterium. RNAcentral's name for it is "bacterial SSU rRNA". It matches the Rfam family "Bacterial small subunit ribosomal RNA", at positions 1 to 918 of the family's 1533-position model. Lineage: Bacteria; Pseudomonadati; Bacteroidota. The record is from RNAcentral.